RNAcentral lists this ribosomal RNA (254 nucleotides) under uncultured bacterium. Its description in RNAcentral is "partial 16S ribosomal RNA". It matches the Rfam family "Bacterial small subunit ribosomal RNA", at positions 524 to 776 of the family's 1533-position model. The record is from RNAcentral.
UACGUAGGUGGCAAGCGUUGUCCGGAAUUAUUGGGCGUAAAGCGCGCGCAGGCGGUCCUUUAAGUCUGAUGUGAAAGCCCACGGCUCAACCGUGGAAGGUCAUUGGAAACUGGGGGGACUUGAGUACAGAAGAGAAGAGUGGAAUUCCACGUGUAGCGGUGAAAUGCGUAGAGAUGUGGAGGAACACCAGUGGCGAAGGCGACCUGCUGGGCAGUUGCUGACACUGAGGCGCGACAGCGUGGGGAGCAAACAGG